RNAcentral lists this long non-coding RNA (1576 nucleotides) under Homo sapiens (human). RNAcentral's name for it is "HSALNT0072396". Lineage: Eukaryota; Metazoa; Chordata; Mammalia; Primates; Hominidae. The record is from RNAcentral.
CCUGGGUGACAGAGUGAGACUCUGUCUCAAAUAAUAAUAAUAAAAAAAAGAAAUCUGAGUUCUAGAUCCUUGGGAUAUAGCUCUACAAAUUCCAGAGUUCUGCAACAGUGAUCUUUCUAAAGCACAAAACUUGUUGUGCCUUCAUUCUCACAACCUAAUAUUUCAGUAGCUCCCAAAGAUUGUAAGAUUAACACCAUUUAUUCAACGAUUACCUGCCAAGAUCCAGGUACUAUGCUAUUACUGGUGAGUCAAAAAGAUAUACAACAUUGUGUUGAAUAUCAAGAGGUUUUCAGAUCCCACUUUCAUCCUCCCUUUGACCUCUGAAUAUAUUAUUUUCCUCUAUAGUGGUUAAUUCCAUUGCUAAUGUAAAUCAAUUUAGCACCUACCUUAGAUUUUGUCUAUUUUUCAGCUCUACCUGUUAUCCUGAUCUGCAUAUGAAGGAUCACAACACAAACACAGAUACCUUUCGAGGUGGCUGGAAUGGGAUAAGGAGCAGGAGAAAGAGGAAGAGGAAAGCUUUUGUUGCUGACACUUGAAUGUUUUUUGAUGCUUGAAUAUUUUGACAGGGACAAAGAGAGUUAUAGGAUAUAGGCAACAGAAAGUUGAACAGAGGCUCAGAAAAAGCAUAAAAAAGGAGUGAACAAUUCUACCUGGGAGGACAGAAUCAGGUGCAUCGUCUCUAAGGAUUGAAAUUAUCUCUGUGGGAUGACAUCUCAGAGAACCCAAACAUCUGAAGGAGGGAGAACACAAAAAUCACAAGAGAAACCCAAAGGAGAUCUGAAAAGGCGCCCGCCUGAGGCAACCCACACUCACAUAAGCUUCCAUUAUGCAUGAAGUUGCUGAGAAUCUUUGCAAUGGCUCAUGGGAGAUCUAUUUACAUGGAUUUUGUUACAGAAGCUAACCACAUUUUGAGUCAGACAGAGUGGUGUCUGAUGUUAAAUAAAUAAAUAAAAAUUUCCCUUGUGAAAAACCAUCUCUUCUAGUCAGGGGCAGUCACUGGUGUGACUCAUGACCUUGAAGCUGCAUUUGAACUUGAUGGAAGAUGGUCAUUAGUCCACCUAAAGACCUGAUCAUGGUUUUUGACUUCUAGAGCACAGUUAUUUUUUUGUUAAUGCUGGGAAUUUGCAGUGAGACAUUCACACACACACAUUUUUCUUUUCUUUUGUCUUCUUUUAUACACUAUGUUUGGAAGGAAUUUCAAGAGGGCUUCAAUUUGUUGAAAGAGGUUGCCUCUUUAUGGGGUAGGAGGUGGGACUCAACUCAAGAGGCAGGGCUCGGCUCUGGACCACAUUGAAGACUGGCUCUAUAAGGCAGGCCUUCCAAUAUCAUGACAGUUUACUCAUUUUCUGGAAACAACCCUACCUGGAAGUUACCACUCCUUUUUCUAGAAAUUUCCGAAUAGCCUGCCCCCUAAUUUGCACAUAAUUAAAAGUGAAUAUAAAUGUGGUUGUAGAACUGCCCUGAGCUGCUACUCUUGACACACUGCCUAUGGGGCAGCCCUACUCUGCAGCAGCAGUCAUGAAGCUCUAAUACUACUCCCUCAAUAAAGCUGUUUCCUUCCACCACUGGCUCGCCC